This 1187-nucleotide long non-coding RNA is filed under the name Vulpes vulpes (red fox). Its description in RNAcentral is "lncRNA (ENSVVUG00000026428.1)". The record is from RNAcentral. Lineage: Eukaryota; Metazoa; Chordata; Mammalia; Carnivora; Canidae.
AUGGGUAUGCUGAAUAAUAGGAGGGAGAGUGCGGGAAGAGGCAGGACCGUACCGAGAAAAGCUCGGCAGUUCCAGAACUCAGCACAACAAUCAAAGGAUAAAGUGGUAAUUAGGCCUGAUUAUCAUGCAAGGCAGCCCCGGUUAAAUUGGAAUGUAGCCGGAGAGACGAAAGGCUGGUUGGAGAGUUUGCUAUGCAGGAGACGUGCUUUGAUGUCUGCAGGGAAGGUUGUGUUUCAUUCAGCCUUCCAACCAAAAAAAUGUUGCAGGAGCAAUAUGAAACCUUCUAAGAUGCAGCAGACGGCAAGCAGAAGUGGAGAGCAAGUGGCUGGGUCCGAGUUCUCCCGUGAGUGUGUGUGUGUGUGUGUGUGUGUGUGUACUUAUAUGCUGCUUUUCUCAGAUUUACUGCUCCAGCCUCUUGGAGAUGUCAGAAGACAGGAAAACAGAAAGGAAUACACUCUCCAACUAUUAACUCACCGUCCUUGGCUUGGCAGGUUCUUAGGACAGGGGAGAGAAUGUGUCGAAGCUUGGGGCAGCCUUGUUACCUGCUGUGGGGAGAAAAGCAAGAGGAAAUGGAGGCUCGUUGCUCAGCUAGAUGCACUCCCCAAACCAAGCCACAACUUUCAUUUCCACGCAAGGGAUUUUCAGUACAACUUGGUAUUGGGAGAUGAUCAACUCUGUACUAAAUCACGGACAGGAAAACAAUAGUCAGGUUUGUAGUAAGAUGUCAUAUUAUCGCCUUACUUAUUCACGGGGCACUGGCCUGGAAGGUGGAGUCUUUCUGCAAUCUGGUUUGGUUCCUGUAGAAUCUAAGCACCUUUCCUCAAAUGAAAUAUGUAGAUUUGCAAGUAUAAAGGCUAGGAUUAUUCACGGGGUGUUCACCAGAGGAAGUGAGAUGUGAAAUCUUGAUGUUGCUUUAAGACAGUGCGUGAAAAUACAGAAAUCCGACGUGGAAGACUAAAUGCAGAUUCUUUUUCUCACAGGUUUCCUCUCACCACUAUGCUCUACCAUCCAGCCACACAGUUCAAUAUUUCUUUUCAAAAGGGAUGGAGUAAGUUGCUGAUCAUGUUAUCUUGAAGGAACCGAAAGAGCUUGUAUUACAUAUCCAACACAUUGCUUCUUCGGUUUAUCUCAGAUUUUUCCUCUGCUUUUGCAAUAAACAAUCCACAAAAUCAGCUGUUUUUGCUGUG